This 579-nucleotide long non-coding RNA is filed under the name Fukomys damarensis (Damara mole-rat). RNAcentral describes it as "lncRNA (ENSFDAG00000023551.1)". Lineage: Eukaryota; Metazoa; Chordata; Mammalia; Rodentia; Bathyergidae. The record is from RNAcentral.
CACGAAUCCCCCUCAGAAGCCUCCUCCUCACUUCAGCCACACAUAUCCUGUCAUUCUUGCCACUUUCUGAAGCACAUCUGAAGUCUUCUGUUGUGUCUUUCCAAAGUGUAAUAAAAAACUGGGUGAAGGCUGCUACUGAGCGCCACCCAACAGGAGGGCAGUUUUGUAAAACUACUGCAGUGUAUCCUCAUCCACCUUCUUCACCGCACCUGGCAUCCUGUGACCUCUGGCUCUUCUCCAUUUUGACCAUGAAAGGCUGGAAUUUCUAUCAUUGCUCCUCAGGCCCUCACUGCCCAUUUCUGUGACUUCUGUUCUCCUCUGAUAACGUUGCACACAUCCCUCCAUCCCCACCUGCACAUCUCCUCAACACAUCCCGGUCUUCACUCAGGGUAAGUCUGAUCAUCAGGAGGCCCUGCUCCAGACCCUGCAGGGAUGGCCUUUUGUGUGCUGAACAAAGCCCAGACUUCCCAAGCUGCUGCUAACUUGGCCCUCCAGUUGCAAAACGUGCUGAGAGUCAGUCGUGUGCUGAGCACUCUCUGGUCCUGGGGUAACUGGGAGAACCAGACAGACUAGUCCCCA